Molecule: ribosomal RNA, 486 nt
Filed under: uncultured bacterium
Lineage: Bacteria
Description: partial 16S ribosomal RNA
Rfam family: Bacterial small subunit ribosomal RNA
Source: RNAcentral
AUUGAACGCUGGCGGCAUGCCUUACACAUGCAAGUCGAACGGCAGCACGGGUGCUUGCACCUGGUGGCGAGUGGCGAACGGGUGAGUAAUACAUCGGAACAUGUCCUGUAGUGGGGGAUAGCCCGGCGAAAGCCGGAUUAAUACCGCAUACGAUCUACGGAUGAAAGCGGGGGACCUUCGGGCCUCGCGCUAUAGGGUUGGCCGAUGGCUGAUUAGCUAGUUGGUGGGGUAAAGGCCUACCAAGGCGACGAUCAGUAGCUGGGCUGAGAGGACGACCAGCCACACUGGGACUGAGACACGGCCCAGCCUCCUACGGGAGGCAGCAGUGGGGAAUUUUGGCCAAUGGGCGAAAGCCUGAUCCAGCAAUGCCGCGUGUGUGAAGAAGGCCUUCGGGUUGUAAAGCACUUUUGUCCGGAAAGAAAUCCUUGGCCCUAAUACGGUCGGGGGAUGACGGUACCGGAAGAAUAAGCACCGGCUAACUACGUG